AGUGAACGCUGGCGGUAGGCCUAACACAUGCAAGUCGAACGGCAGCACAGUAAGAGCUUGCUCUUACGGGUGGCGAGUGGCGGACGGGUGAGGAAUACAUCGGAAUCUACUUUUUCGUGGGGGAUAACGUAGGGAAACUUACGCUAAUACCGCAUACGACCUACGGGUGAAAGCAGGGGAUCUUCGGACCUUGCGCGAUUGAAUGAGCCGAUGUCGGAUUAGCUAGUUGGCGGGGUAAAGGCCCACCAAGGCGACGAUCCGUAGCUGGUCUGAGAGGAUGAUCAGCCACACGGGAACUGAGACACGGUCCAGACUCCUACGGGAGGCAGCAGUGGGGAAUAUUGGAAAAUGGGCGCAAGCCUGAUCCAGCCAUACCGCGUGGGUGAAGAAGGCCUGCGGGUUGUAAAGCCCUUUUGUUGGGAAAGAAAAGCAGCAGGUUAAGACCCCGCUGUUCGGACGGUACCCAAAGAAGAAGCACCGGCUAACUGCGU
Molecule: ribosomal RNA, 491 nt
Filed under: uncultured bacterium
Lineage: Bacteria
Description: partial 16S ribosomal RNA
Rfam family: Bacterial small subunit ribosomal RNA
Source: RNAcentral